CUUGCCCUUUUCCAAUGGAUGCAGGACGAAGUUCCUCCUAUCAGCUUGUGUUUAAUGCUAUGAAUCUGACUUCCUUGUCAGCAUCAUGAUUCAUGACAGCAAACAGAGAGAGUGUGAAGCCUGCAUUUCUGUGGGUUGGGAACGGAUUAGAGUAUUUAGACAGCUUUCAUGUCCAGUCUCAGCCAGUCAUGCUGGACAUAAAAGAAACUUCAGAAAAUUCACCAGAUCUACUACAGACUCAGACUGAGAUCCAGGGAGAUGAAUCAUUACUUGCUGAAGGAUAUUAUCUUGAGAUAUUUAUCAGGAAAAUGCAGAAUGUGUGGACCUGAGACUUGAGAACUGGGAAUUACAGCAUGAAAAUGAGGACCAGAAGAGUUUCUUCUCUUCAAGGUCCGCAGAUGGCUAUCUCAGUUCCCAGAAUCACACACAGAAACAAUGUCAAGAUGAAGAAAAGGAAAUAUCUCUUCAUUUGUCUCUUUUACAAGUGAGGAAAAUCUUUCCAGAAUUGCUCGAACAUCUCAUUGGCCAGAAUUAUGUCACAUGAUCACAACCUAACCAAUUAACUAUAAUGGAAAAUGAAGCCACUAAGUGUCUAGGACCAAUCAAGAUUCUCCCUCAGAGCUGCUUUUCCAAAAGUACUUGGAUACUCUUUAAUGAUGAACAAAGUCAGCAUUUUGAAAGUGAGGAAUAAGGGGGAAAUAGCUACUGGUUAGACGACAACUUGUGUCUUUCACAGAGUGUGAGAAAUAUUUACGCUUUCAAAAGCUUCAUGGAUCAUAAAAUAUUGAAGAACACCGGAUGAGAGACCCAGAGCAGCCAGUAUUCACCUGUCAGUAAUCACUUAACCAGUUUUUUUUUCGUGUAUUUGAAGAGUUAAUGUGUUUCUUUGCAAUCAAAUGACAAAGGCUUAGUUUUCUAAACAAAUGCAAAGAAGGCCUUGGAGCAAGAAGUGACCAUCCUAACAAAAUGUGAUGGGAUAAAAGGUGUGGACACAUACGAUCCAAACAGCAGAGAUAUUAUUGCCAUACAUGUUCUGCUAAGGGUUUAUCACCAGGUCCACAGGGAGAAUAAACUGCAAUAUUAGUAUCAGAAUGCAUGUGUGUGGGGUCUUUAUGAAAGGAAGAGUAAUAAAAUAUAUGUAUUAUUCUCAUGGCAGAGUCUGGUUCAGUCGUGUUCUAUACAUUUUUAGAGUCCAUAUAAACUUGGUGGUUACAGAAUCCUUCUGAGUAAUGAUUUUUAUACGUAUAACCACUUUCAUUGUUGGUAAAUACUUAGAAAAUAUGAGACCAUAGGCUCAAGAAGCACAGAGAUGUUAUCUGUUUCAUUCACUAUUUUAAUCCAGAGCUUAAUACAGUGGAGAUAGAUAGAUAGAUAGACCUCUGAGUCUAUCUAUCAAAAACCAGGAAGCAUACCAAUUUACAACUGACUUAACAAGCAUAUUUCUGAUAGGAAAUGUUUUAACUUGCCCUUACAACAAACUGGUGAGGUAGACAUUUUCAAGACUAACAUUCAUUUUGCCAUAACUGAUAAUGAGUUAUCUGAUUUCAAACAGUUUUAGAAUAAAGUUUGAGCACUAUUUUUAUU
Molecule: long non-coding RNA, 1584 nt
Organism: Globicephala melas (long-finned pilot whale)
Lineage: Eukaryota; Metazoa; Chordata; Mammalia; Artiodactyla; Delphinidae
Source: RefSeq, a predicted model, not a curated record